UUAGUGUCUAUGUGUGUGUGAAUGUGUGCAUUCUGAGAGUUAGUGUUAUAAAAGUCUCAUUCAUUGCUACUCUUAAGUAUAAGUCUUAAAGCAUUGAGGUGCAAGUGCAAUCGAGAUGCAGACGAGAAGUAGCACAGGAAAAGCUAGAGUAUUUCCCUGUCGGCAAUGCUACAAGAUGGAGGGAAUGGGGGAGUGGCAUCGCCUGAGGCCAGGAGGUUCGAAGGGUUCAAAGGUGGAGUUGGUGAUUGGGGUGAGGCGCAGCGGGGCGCCCGUCAUCCCGGAGAUAUUAUUGAGGCUGCGUGACUUCUCAUAACCCGUGGCUACAUGAAGAUGACAAGGAUAGGUGCCACACUGCUUGUUCGUGAGCCAAUAACAUCACUGUAUCAAGACUGUAGUCCAGGAACACCACUGUCGAAUGAAAGUUUGCUGACGGUUACUUUGUGAUAAAGUGGCGGUUAGGAUUUGUUUAUUUUUUAUCUGUGUUAGCUCCUGCCACAGCAUGCAGACUCAGUAGCUGUACUUUACUGUGACUAUGUCCAGGACCACGGCCAUGAAUGGAAGUUCACUGUUGAGUACUGUGUGGUAUUGUAAUCACUAAUACAAAUACAAAUGCAAUGACUGCUUGUAGUAUGGCACUCACUGUGUGCAAAGUCAAGCUUACAGGU
Micropterus dolomieu (smallmouth bass) is the source of this 665-nucleotide long non-coding RNA. RefSeq lists it as uncharacterized. The record is from RefSeq and is a predicted model, not a curated record. Lineage: Eukaryota; Metazoa; Chordata; Actinopteri; Centrarchiformes; Centrarchidae. The transcript is spliced from 3 exons.